GAUGAACGCUGGCGGCGUGCCUAAUACAUGCAAGUCGAGCGAACGGACGAGAAGCUUGCUUCUCUGAUGUUAGCGGCGGACGCGUGAGUAACACGUGGAUAACCUACCUAUAAGACUGGGAUAACUUCGGGAAACCGUAGCUAAUACCGGAUAAUAUUUUGAACCGCAUGGUUCAAAAGUGAAAGACGGUCUUGCUGUCACUUAUAGAUGGAUCCGCGCUGCAUUAGCUAGUUGGUAAGGUAACGGCUUACCAAGGCAACGAUGCAUAGCCGACCUGAGAGGGUGAUCGGCCACACUGGAACUGAGACACGGUCCAGACUCCUACGGGAGGCAGCAGUAGGGAAUCUUCCGCAAAGGGCGAAAGCCUGACGGAGCAACGCCGCGUGAGUGAUGAAGGUCUUCGGAUCGUAAAACUCUGUUAUUAGGGAAGAACAUAUGUGUAAGUAACUGUGCACAUCUUGACGGUACCUAAUCAGAAAGCCACGGCUAACUACGUG
This 497-nucleotide ribosomal RNA is filed under the name uncultured bacterium. RNAcentral describes it as "partial 16S ribosomal RNA". It matches the Rfam family "Bacterial small subunit ribosomal RNA", at positions 28 to 507 of the family's 1533-position model. The record is from RNAcentral.